CUGGAGCAAGAGCCACGGGGUGGCUUGCAGGAGAGGACAGACAAUCUCAUGACAGACUUUGGCAGCCAGCUGAGUUUUUGCCUAUGGAGUCCCAAGAAAGGAACAGAUGCCAGCAUGUUCCUAAGUGAAAGAGAGGAAGGCUUUACAGCUGUAUCAGAGGACGGAGCCAGAAGCAGUGAGAAUCUGUGGCAGGGCGACCACUUGUGGCUGCAAGAGAUUUCCAACCUUUCUGAAUGGACGUCCUGAAAUGGAGAUGCCCUUAGCCAAAGGUAUGAGAACUGCUGUGCUCCCCCAUGCAAACAAAGCCAAAUAAAGACCAUCCAUUCAAUGGGGUUCUUGUUCUU
Molecule: long non-coding RNA, 344 nt
Filed under: Chrysemys picta bellii (western painted turtle)
Lineage: Eukaryota; Metazoa; Chordata; Testudines; Emydidae
Description: lncRNA (ENSCPBG00000023816.1)
Source: RNAcentral